CUUUAUGGGCCAAAAUACCCCAAAGGCACCAGAUCCCACCUGAACUUGGAUGCUAAGCAUGGUCAACCCUGGUUGUCCUGAGAUGGAAGACUGCCAGUGAAUACCAAGCACUAUAAGCU
This 119-nucleotide ribosomal RNA is filed under the name Anolis carolinensis (green anole). The record is from RNAcentral. Lineage: Eukaryota; Metazoa; Chordata; Lepidosauria; Squamata; Anolidae.